RNAcentral lists this ribosomal RNA (486 nucleotides) under uncultured bacterium. RNAcentral describes it as "partial 16S ribosomal RNA". It matches the Rfam family "Bacterial small subunit ribosomal RNA", at positions 28 to 523 of the family's 1533-position model. The record is from RNAcentral.
GACGAACGCUGGCGGCGUGCUUAACACAUGCAAGUCGAACGGUGACCCUCGGAGCUUGCUUCGGGGUGAACAGUGGCGAACGGGUGAGUAACACGUGAGUAACCUGCCCCUGACUCUGGAACAAGCGAUGGAAACGGCGUCUAAUACCGGAUACGACACGCCUCCGCAUGGGGAGCGUGUGGAAAGUUUUGCGGGCUGGGAUGGACUCGCGGCCUAUCAGCUUGUUGGUGAGGUAAUGGCUCACCAAGGCGAUGACGGGUAGCCGGCCUGGGAGGGCGACCGGCCACACUGGGACUGAGACACGGCCCAGACUCCCACGGGAGGCAGCAGUGGGGAAUAUUGCACAAUGGGCGAAAGCCUGAUGCAGCGACGCCGCGUGAGGGAUGACGGCCUUCGGGUUGUAAACCUCUUUCAGCAGGGAAGAAGCGAAAGUGACGGUACCUGCAGAAGAAGCACCGGCUAACUACGUGCCAGCCGCCGCCGUAA